GUGCUUGCUUUGGCAGCAUAUAUAUUAAAAUUGGAAAGAUACAGAGAAGAUUAGCAUGGCCCCUGCGCAAGACGACAUACAAAGUCCUGAAGCAUUCCAUAUUUUU
This is a small nuclear RNA of Saimiri boliviensis boliviensis (Bolivian squirrel monkey), 106 nucleotides long. The record is from Ensembl. NCBI's taxonomy places the organism in Eukaryota, Metazoa, Chordata, Mammalia, Primates, Cebidae.